Oncorhynchus tshawytscha (Chinook salmon) is the source of this 5920-nucleotide long non-coding RNA. Lineage: Eukaryota; Metazoa; Chordata; Actinopteri; Salmoniformes; Salmonidae. The record is from Ensembl.
CCAAAAUAUAACUUUUUGGUAAAAACUCAACUCGUCGUGUUUGGAGGACAAAGAAUGCUGAGUUGCAUCCAAAGAACACCAUACCUACUGUGAAGCAUGGGGGUGGAAACAUCAUGCUUUGGGGCUGUUUUUCUGCAAAGGGACCAGGACGACUGAUCCGUGUAAAGGAAAGAAUGAAUUGGGCCAUGUAUCAUGACAUUUUGAGUGAAAACCUCCUUCCAUCAGCAAGGGCAUUGAAGAUGAAACGUGGCUGGGUCUUUCAGCAUGACAAUGAUCCCAAACACACCACCCGGGCAACGAAGGAGUGGCUUCGUAAGAAGCAUCUAAAGGUCCUGGAGUGACCUAGCCAGUCUCCAGAUCUCAACCCCAUAGAAAAUGUUUGGAGGGAGUUGAAAGUCCAUGUUGCCCAGCAACAGCUCCAAAACAUCACUGCUCUAGAGGAGAUCUGCAUGGAGGAAUGGGCCAAAAUACCAGCUACAGUGUGUGAAAACCUUGUGAAGACUUACAGAAAAUGUUUGACCUCUGUCAUUGACAACAAAGGGUAUAUAACGAAGUAUUGACCAAAUACUUAUUUUCCACCAUAAUUUGCAAAUAAAUUCAUAAAAAAUCCUACAAAGUGAUUUUCUGGAUUUUUUUCUUCUCAUUUUGUCUGUCAUAGUUGAAGUGUACCUAUGAUGAAAAUUACAGGCCUCUCUCAUCUUUUUAAGUGGAAGAACUUGCACAAUUGGUGGCUGACUAAAUACUUUUUUGCCCCACUGUAUACAUCAGAUUAUGAACAGGAGAACACCGCAGGGUGGUGACAAACUGUAGGAUUAUUGGGGUCAGUGAGUGGCAGAAAUACGAGGAACAUGUUCUCUGUUCAGUUCAUUUCGGGUUCAUUUUUAGCAUUAGUUCUCAGGCCUGGGCUCAGAUCCCCAGAGGUGAUCACUGGUUUAGAGAGUGAUCACCUCCUAAACGGUUUCUAUGCAGCAAAACUCUGCUCAGGGUGUCUGGAUGGAGUAUGAAAUAUACCCUCUCAAGUCACAAUGUUGCCCCUAACAGUGUAGUGUUCAGUGAGGAAAAAUAGGAUCCCUCAGUAGGAAUAAAAAAGGGUUGAAUACUGUACUCAUGAUUUUCUCACCAGCAUAGACCUCGACGGUACAAACACCCCGGUUGGUUGAGCGAUGUCACAACAGCACCCCCUGGGAGUGUAGAGGUAGUACUGCAGCCCCACUGCGACACCCCCAUCACCCUUGUCCUUCUUUGUCUCUGGGUGCCUGGGAGCCCCUUCUCUUCUCUGGUGCUGGACUGGGAUCUGUAAUAUGCAACAUUCCACACUUCUAGUGACCUUCCAGCCAUGUAGAUAUAGUGCCUUCAGAAAGUGUUCACACCCCUUGACUUUUUCCACAUUUUGUUGUGGUACAGCAUGAAUUUCAAAUAUAUUAAAUGUAGACGUUUUUGUCGCUGGCCUACACGCAAUACCCGAUAAUGUCAAAGUGGACUUGUGUUUUCAGAAUUGUUUAUAAAUUCAUAAAAAAUAAAAAGCUGAAAUGUCUUGAGUCAAUAAGUAUUCAACCCCUUUGUUAUGACAAGCCUAAAUAAGUUCAGGAGUAGAAAUGAACUUAACAAGUCACAUAAGUUGCAUGGAUUCAACCACAAAGACCAGGGAGGUUUUCCAAUGCCUCGCAAAGAAGGGCACCUAUUGGUAGAUGGGUAUAAAAGAAAAGCAGACAUUGAGCAUAUCCCUUUGAGCAUGGUGAGGUUAUUAAUUACACUUUAGAUGGUGUAUCAAUACACCCAGUCACUACAAAGACACAGGCCUCCUUCCUAACUCAGUUGCCAGAGAGGAAGGAAACGGCUUAGGGAUUUCACCAUGAGGCCAAUGGUCACUUUAAAACAGUUAGAGUUUAAUGGCUGUGAUAGGAGAAAACAGGAUGAAUCAACAACAUUGUAGUUAUUCUACAAUACUAACCUAAUUGACAGAGUGAAAAGAAGGAAGCCUGUACAGAAUAAAAAUAUUCCAAAACAUGCAACAAGGUACUAAAGUAAUACUACAAAAAAAAUUGGCAAAGCAAUUACCUUUUUGUUCUGAGUACAAAGUGUUAUGUUUGGGGCAAAUCCAAUACAACACAAUACUGAGUACCACUCUCCAUAUUUCCAAGCAUUGUGAUGGCUGCAUUAUGUUAUGUGUAUGCUUGUAAUCGAUAAGGACUGUAAUAAUAAAAUAAUAAGCAGAAUGGAGGACAGGCAAAAUUCUAGAGGGAAAUCUGGUUCAUUCUGCUUUCCACCAGACACUGGGAGGUGAAUUCACUUUUCAGCAGGACAAUAACUUAAAACACAAGGCCAAAUCUACACUGAAGUUGCUUACCAAGAAGACAGUGAAUGUUCCUGAGUGGCCAAAUUACAGUUUUGACUUAAAUCUGCUUGAAAAUCUAUGGCAAGACCUGAAAAUGGUUGUCUAGCAAUGAUCAACAACCAACAACAACCAAAAGGUUAAUUGUUGCACAAUCCAGGUGUGCAAAGCUCUUAGAGACUUACCCAGAAAGACUCACAGCUUUAAUCACUGCUUAAGGUGCUUCUAUAAAGUAUUGACUCAGGGGUGUGAAUACUUAUGUACAUUAGAUUUCUGUAUUUCAUUUUCAAUAAAUUAGCAAACAUUUAUAAAACAUGUUUUUACUGUCAUUAUGGGUUAUUGUGUAGAUAUAAUCCAUUUUAUAUUCAGGCUGUACCACAACAAAAGGUGGAAUAAGUCCAAGGGUAUGAAUACCUUCUGAAGCCACUGUAUCUGUGUAUUAUUACUACUCUCCUCCUGACUCCCCAAACCUCCUCUUUAGGUUGAACAAAUGCCUUAUAAGCCUUGUUAAAUAGCAGCUUUGAAUGAUAGGAUGGUAAACACUUUUGUUGUUUGUUUGCACAGCUGACUCUUCAUGCAGAGUAUGACUUUGAUUUUUAUAGAAAUUAGAUGGAUUUCUGAGUUUGUGAUAUGGAGAGCUUGAUAUUCGAUGAAUAUAAUGUUUUAUGCGAUGGAUAGAUGAACACUGGUUUUCUCCAGACCGAGGUAGCCCGUUAAGACAAGUAAAUAAAUAUUUGUAACUGUAAGUAGACUCGUUGGAGUUUAAUUAAAGGUGGUGUUUGAAUUAUCCACAGAGCAAGACGGACCUGUGUUCCUCUGAGCUCUGUCAUGCAAUAACUAAAGUGCGUCUGAAAUGGCACCUUAUUCCCUGUAUAGUGCACUACUUUUGGCCAGCUUACUGGUCAAAAGUAGUGCACUUAUACAGGGAAUUGGGUGUAAGUGUGGAUGCACACUAACUGUCUUGAUGCCCUGGGCCCAGUUUUUCAAAACAUUUAAUCUGGAUAAGAAUGAUCCGGAUUCUGUAAUCCUUUUUUGCAAUCAAGGAUCAGAUUGAGCUGGCUGUUUUUGGGCUAGUUUUUCAGAAAAUAAUCAGACAGGAUCAUUCUGAUCCACAACAUGAAGAUCACAGAAUCCAGAUUGUCAGUGCUUUCAACAGGCCUACACCUUUCCAUCUAGUGGACAGGUUAUGGUACUACUACACUGUCAUAGGGAAACAGAGAUGAGUAAACUACAUGAAUAAAGGUAAUUAUAUGACACCUUUCUAAAUCCACCCUGAAUACACCCUUCCAGUGGGAUCAAGAUAAUCCAGAUUUUAGGCAUCAAAACUAUCAUCAUCACUACCUUUUUUGAGUAAAAAAAAAAGCAAAAACUACAUUUAAUCCUGUUUUAAUGGUCAGAUUGGAUGACCAAAUCUGGAGGAUCAGAAUAGUUUUGUUUUCUUUUGAAAAAACCAAUUCUAACAUGUCAUUUUAUCCGAUUGCAGAAAUCCAAUCAGAUAACUUUUGAAAAACUGGGCCCAGAGACUCUGCCUUCUACUUUGUAACAACCAUACCUUCUGAGGGUAAAGCAGCUUCAAUCCACAUACUAUUGGAAAUAAUAUAACACAUUGAAAACUGCAGAUUUAAACUGUUGAUAAAAGUAUUUUAUACAUAGUCAUUUAUAUAUAUUGUAUUUAUGUAUAGCCCCCACCCCUCCACCACCCCUGAUGAACAAGGUUAAUAAGUUAGUUUUAAAAAACUACUUUCAUUUUUGUAUGUUGUUGGUUCUUCCAGGCCCCCUGUGUGUUGCACAUCACGACAAUCACGACAAAUGAUAAUUUUGUCUUCAGGGUGGUACCUUAACAAAAAUAUGUAUUUGUCAAUCUUCCUCCUUGGGGAGACAUACAGACUGCGAAUGUAUGGAAUAUUGAUAGCAAUAAUAAAAAGAUUUUCAGUUUGCCUGAGAAUUACAACAACAAAAGGUCCAAAGAAAAUGACAAAGUUGAGUGUUAAAAAGCAACAUAUUCCAGUCCAACAUCAUCAUAAGGAUGUUUACAGAAUGUGAUUCUGAAUGCUGGAUAGAUGUAUGUAUGUAUGUAUGUAUGUAUGCCAUACAUUACGUAGUCAUGCUGUAAUAUAACAUGUUGAUUGGUCUGGGUAGGAACAACUCCUAUUGCCUUAACAUGUUCUCUGUGAUUGGACAAUGAUAUAUGUAUAUUCUUGCAUGUAUAUUUUUUCUCUGAGAGGAUGUUGCUAAUGACAACUGUCAAUCAUGUCCAAUCAGAAAUAUAAAAUAAUUCUGCUAUACACAAAAAACCUGCCUGAUGCCUUUAAAAACUUUUUUUUAAACUUUUUUAAUUAAAAAAUAACCUUGAUGCCUAUAGUUGUAGAUGCAGCAGAGAUGCUUGGUUCUGUUACACAGGUAGUUCAAUUCGGAUAUUUUUCUCACUAAUCAGAUCAGCUCUGAAAAAGUUCUGUGAUUGGUCAAAGAACCAAUUAGUGGAACAAAUAUCAGAAUUGGGCUGCCUGUAUAAACACAGCCUUCUAGAGUAUCAGCACAAUACUUAUUAGUCCUGCAUACCAGAGGGCCAGUCAGUGAAUCUGCCUUGUAAAGGACACAGUGCAAGCGUCUUAGUAGAUUAUAUUAAGUGUGGAUGUGUGCGUUUGUACCCAAUAAACUGUAGAUAAGUGUUUUUUUUUAUAAUGAAUUUCAGUUCUGUACAAUACAAGCACACGGAUGCAUUAGGCUACUAUGCAAACCACGACGAAAGCAUCAUGACAACGUGAUAUUUGGCAUCGAGUACAAUAUAACUGGUUUGUUUGUAAUAAUCUCUAGUGGCUUUUGUUUCAUGUGUAAAACCUUUUCAAAUAGUGAGGAGAGAAUGUCACUAUUUGUUUAUUUAAACUAUAGGAAGGCCUUAACUCAUGUGUUGAAUAUGAAUUACUGGUUUGUUGUCUGUAUGCUCUUCUGGGUUAAUAAUUUACUUGAGAAUAUAUAUUUUGGACAGCAGGAUGUUAGUUACAAGAGGAAGGGCUGGCUCUGGUGCUGCUUGUGAGACUGUUACCUGAUUCACAGUAUAGAGCUGAUCAGAACCGUACUGUGCUGGCUUGGAUGUUUCAUUUUCACAUGGUCCUUUCCAGCACAGUUCCAGCACUAUGUAGAUGCGUAAACAGGGCAGCCCAGUACAGCUCGGCUUGGCGCAGCUUGGCUCUAUAGUGUGAAUGAGGCAUAUGAGUCCAGAAACAAGAGCAGCAUUAAAUUCAGUAACCGUUCGCUCUCUGCCAUCCUCUUCUGUAAAACCAAAGAUAAACAAUAUGUUCCCAUUUUACAUACUGGUAAAAGGCAACACAGACUGACAUUAGAACUCUAUUUUUGAUACUUUGAAAUGGAUGUCAUUCCUAACGGUUGGGUGCAUAUAUCUAUAAAUAUAUGUUUUGUAAAAGGAAAGGGAAAUACAGGUUUGAGCUGAUGUUUACAGGAACCUUGUAUUGUCAUGUACAUUUUGUAUUUUAAAACCAUUUUGUAAUUUAAGACUGCAGUGCUUUUUGAAUGUAUUCAAAGGGAAUACCUUGCAUUUAGGCUCUUACAGUAGUGUAUCAAUAAAAAUAC